Phyllopteryx taeniolatus (common seadragon) is the source of this 1873-nucleotide long non-coding RNA. RefSeq lists it as uncharacterized. The transcript is spliced from 6 exons. The record is from RefSeq and is a predicted model, not a curated record. Lineage: Eukaryota; Metazoa; Chordata; Actinopteri; Syngnathiformes; Syngnathidae.
GAGGAGCGGGCGCCAGCUGACUCAAGGUAAAAGGCAGACUAGACCCUGGACUGGUUGUCAGUCAAUUAAGGGAGACAACAAUACACUCCCACAUUCACACCGUUACUAGGUGGGAAGUGCACCAAUACUGCGCAAAUGUCAGAUGAGAACCGUUUACCCAUAAAGGAAGAAGAAAGUUAAGCCUGUAGGACGGCUCAGGACCAUGACGCUUUAAGACAACCAUGCAGAAGUGCAACAUGGGGGAACAGAGAACCUGGCUACCUGUAAAACAAUCUAACAGCUUUACUGCAGCCCAGUAAGAAGCAAAGAGACAGUGGGGGAGAUGCACUGAAAAAGUCAGUGGGACAAUGGAGCAGAAUGUUGAAAAUGCCAAGUGACGUGCAAAACGUGGAAAGACACAAAAUGAAUAGAGAUGAGAUGAGUACUGUGGAAAGGGUCUUUGGCCACCAUGAGAUGUGUUGUUUUUAGCAAUGCUAUAAUGACCAGAAUGUUACUCAGUAGAGUGCAGACCUCCACCAAGGCCGAAGUCGUUAAACAGGUUCUUAAAUUAUCUUUACAAAGGGUCCUCAGUUUAGGAUGGUCCCAAUGGUCAUGUUUCCAAAAGGCAUGUGAAGAACUUGUUAGCACCCGUUCCACUGUGCAAGCCCAUUCCUUAAAGGUAAGGAGUCAUACUUAUGUUACUCAUUUGAUUAUUUUAUAUUUAUAACCUAGAAGUGUAUUUCAUACAAAUAUUUACUAUAAUUAUUAGGGAUGUCCCGAUCCGACCGUUGAGGUGGGAAAUUGGUCCGAUGUCAGCAAAAAAAAAAAAGUAUUAUAUUGGACUGUAUCUAAAAUCUCCGAUUUUACCACUCUUAUACGAGCAGUCUUUUCCAUGCUCCACUCCAGCACUUUUUCCCAACACCGCCCGGACAGCAUGCAGAGCCCACAUGAUCACAACAACAGAUUCCUAAGGUGCUAACAUAGUAGCAAGGAGUAAGAGUGAAUGUUGCUUGCUUAAACUCGUUUAUUGACACGCCAGUUGAAAUUCAUUGUAAAACUAAACACACCCACAACAAAAGAAUUACACCUAUUGAAUGUUCAAAUACAUCACAGACUGUUUAUUUUUGUUUUUGUUCACAAAAUUUGCUAGCACAAAGCUAACACACGUUGAAUGAAAAACACCCUUGACAAGCUAACGGAAAUUAGUAUUGAACUUGCGGCACAUAUAUCGCUCUAAAAAAUAAAUAUUGUGACACAAAUGCUGUAUAAACACACACAAACGGACAAUAUUUCAUUAAUCUGAGGCAUAUAUUCUUCAAACUCUGUGAAAAAUGAGUUGUAUUAACAAUAUUCGAUCGUGUCUUCUACUUUCUUUGUUGCUGCGUGUAUCUCAUUGCAUGCGCCACACUGCCCCUCAGAGGUCAAGACCUGCACAGCAGGAACAGCGAGCCCAACAAUGAAGACACACACAGAGACCGGAGAACUUCCACUGCCCGAGGCCGGGGAACCCGUCCCAAACCCCGGAGAGCCACCAAGAGAACCCGGAGAUCCAGUGCAAAUCCCCGGGGAGAUGGUCCCUGGCGAUCCAGAGAGGGACCCUGGGGAGGAGAUCCCCGAGCCAGGAGAAGGGGUACCCGUAGAGCUGGGCAUAGAGCCAGCGCCCUCGGGUGGGGGACGGGAGCUUGACCGGGUGGUUUCCUCGUAAGCCUUUCGGUACCACGUGUCCGGGAAAAAGGAGGCUGAUUUGGUAGGGGAAGAGUCGGGCAUCUGUGGGACAUUUAACACAGGGGAGAGCUUGACUCAUAGGAGAGGAGGCAUUUACCCACUUAGAACGAGCACACGCGUGGAGAUCAUAACUUGUAUUAAAAAUGUAACAUUUUAAUGAAUGUUAAUA